This is a long non-coding RNA of Nothobranchius furzeri (turquoise killifish), 2170 nucleotides long. The record is from Ensembl. Lineage: Eukaryota; Metazoa; Chordata; Actinopteri; Cyprinodontiformes; Nothobranchiidae.
GUCUAAUGAGUCAUGACAUGAAGCCCGGAGCCGUCCUCCCACGCACGCCUCUCCCCGUCCUUAUUUGAGGCGCUCCUGGGCUGCAGACCUCAGAGCAGCAGCGCAGCUCUGUCCGGCUUCUGCGGAGGGACGGGAGCUGGUCUCACAGCGGUUCCACCCACCCUUCAACAACAUGAGACCCAUCCUGGUAGUCGUUACUUGUCUUCUUACAGAAAGUCUAGCGCUUCCACUCAGCCAAGAGGGACAGAGAGAAGACGUGGUAACACGAUGUUUGGCUGAAGUCCUGUCCAAAGCUCUCUCCACACCGGACGCUCAGUUGGAUCAGGAAUGCAGAGACAUCAUAAAAGCAGGGGUUAAUCACGCCUCGCUGAGCAAGAAGAGCAGCGAUGGACUCGUAACACAAGAGGAGGCGUCUAAAGGUCACACUGAGGAACCUGCAGCAAAGGCAGCAGAUGUGAAAGACAUUGAAGCGCUUCUGAAAUCCGUGGAGGAGGAGAGAGCAAACCUUGAAGAUGAGCACAAUCAGCAAUCCUGGAGUCUGGGAGACAGAACGUCAGAGAAUGGAGAUGGAGGAGAACGGGUGAAAAGGAGCAGCUGGAGGCUUGGAAGGUACCGCCAGAGGAAAAGCAAACGCGGAGAGGAGGAAGAUUUUGAGCGUAGUCAGGAGAGCUGGGGAGGCACGGAAAAGAGGUCGGAGGAUGAAGAAGUGGCCGAGGAAAGUGAAGAAAAAGAGAAGAGGAGCUGGAGACCCGGCAGGUAUCAUCAAAGAAGACACAAGCGAGAUGACGGAGAAGAAGAAGAACCGGAGGAAGAGCGCAGCCAGGAGUCCUGGGAUGUAAACAAAAGGUACGAGGAUGAGGAGGAAAGAGAUAAGCGCAUAUGGAAGCCCACACAUCGUUACCAUCACAAGUCAAGGCUCCACAAGCGCAGCGAUGAUCCGCUGGAGGGCGAGGUUGAUGAGGACCGCAGCCAGGAGUCUUGGAGUGUUGACAAGAAGAACUGGAGGCCUGGAAGGUAUCACCAGAGGAGACAUAAGCGUGAUGAAGAACCUCUGGAAAACGCUCGGGAAGAACCGGAUGAAGAACGCAGUCAGGAAUACUGGGAUGUUGAUACUGGAGUAGAGAAACGGAACUGGAGGCCAGGCAGAAUCCACCAAAGGAGACACAAGCGUGAUGAAGAGCCAUCCGAGGGCAACCGGGAAGAACCGGAUGAAGAACGCAGUCAGGAAUACUGGGAUGUUGAUACUGGAGUAGAGAAACGGAACUGGAGGCCGGGCAGAUUCCACCAAAGGAGACACAAGCGUGAUGAAGAGCCAUCCGAGGGCAACAUGGAAGAGCCAGAGGAAGAACGCAGUCAGGAAUACUGGGAUUUUGAUACUGGAGUAGAGAAACGGAACUGGAGGCCGGGCAGAUUCCACCAAAGGAGACAACGACGUGAUGAAGAGCCAUCCGAGGGCAACCGGGAAGAACCGGAUGAAGAACGCAGUCAGGAAUACUGGGAUUUUGAUACAGGAAUGGAGAAACGGAACUGGAGGCCGGGCAGAUUCCACCAGAGGAGACAACGACGUGAUGAAGAGCUACCAGAGGAGGCCAGAGAGGAACCGGAAGGAGGACGCAGUCAGGAGGACUGGGGUUAUGAAAAGAGACAGGAAACAGAAGAGGGAGAAAUAGAGAAAAGGAUAUGGAAGCCGACACACAGAUACCACCAUAAACAAAGACUUAACAAGCGAGCAGGAGGACCGUCGGAGGAAGAGCAGAGGGGAACUUCGGAUGAAUACACAGAAGAUGAGAAAGACAGAGAUGAAGCUUUGAGGUAUCUGGCUGAGAAGCGUAAUCCCUGGAUCUCCAGAGGCUACUACCACCCUGCCUGGUAUAAACGGGAUUCAGAGGAACCAGCUGCUGCUUCAAACAAGGUGAUAAAAUCCUUUUCUAGUUUUCAGCCGUUUGUGCAGAUGUCCAACCGUUCAAACUUUUUAACUGCAUGCAAGGCUGCGGACUUUAAGGUAACCCUUCGUUUAACCUCUGUUGGACUGGUUCAGAUGGACCAACUGGCCCAGCUGCUGAGCUACAGGAUCAACCAGCUGGCUCACCACUCUGCUCAGGAGGAGGCAAAGACGACGAGGGCGCUCACUCCACCGGAGGUAUACAUGCUGCCUAUCCUCCACUCAUGA